RNAcentral lists this small nucleolar RNA (207 nucleotides) under Sinocyclocheilus rhinocerous. Its description in RNAcentral is "Small nucleolar RNA U3 (ENSSRHG00000005850.1)". It matches the Rfam family "Small nucleolar RNA U3". From Rfam's summary of the family: Small nucleolar RNAs (snoRNAs) are involved in the processing and modification of rRNA in the nucleolus. There are two main classes of snoRNAs: the box C/D class, and the box H/ACA class. Lineage: Eukaryota; Metazoa; Chordata; Actinopteri; Cypriniformes; Cyprinidae. The record is from Rfam by way of RNAcentral.
AAGACUAUAUUUUCAGGAAUCAUUUCUAUAGUUCUUUACUUAGAAAUGUGUUUCAAAAGAAUUUAUCUCUCAACUCGCGAUGAUGAGCUGUGAUGCUCCUUUCUGAGAGUCAAUCAAAGACAGAGCUGUGAUUUUGGUUGCAAACUCUGCCAUUGAUGAGCAUUCUCUAUUGCUUUUGGCAAUGUUGAUGAAAGGAGUAUGAUCUGA